GGAAGAUUUGAUAACGCCUGGAAUUAAUGACUCGAACUGUUUUUCCGGUGCUGCUGCAAAUGUCAACAGACCAGUGUAUUUUGCUUUGAGAGAUAUGUAGAGGCUGCUUAGGUUGAUCAAACCUUGUAUUCUGCAAGUCUAUAUAAAGAGGGAUUGGCCAUUGACUUCAAACAUGGUAGCUGAUAGGUCAAGGCAUUUGCUCCAGAAUUAAAAAAGAAAAAAGAAAAAAGAAAUUGGGAAUGGGAUCAUUCUGUUUUAGCAUCAUCAAGAAUGACAGUAGCGCUGGCAGAGCAUGUUAAUUGAUGACCAGAAGACUGUUCUUAGGAGGUGAGAAAUCCCAUCCUGUUUUUUUCAGUUUGCUUCCUCGGAAUACUUUCCCUUGAAAAGUUCGGAAAAUCUCUAACCGUUUUCCAAAUGGGGCCAUGAAAAUAAAGAAUUUUUUUCUGAUUAGUUGGGACAGUUCUUAGUCAUAAAUCCUAACAAGCAUCGCAUGGCUUCUUUUCUUCAAUUUGCUGACUCUGUGAGGGUGUGUCCAUAAAGCUUUUUGUGCUGGCCCUUUAGCUUUCUAUGCCACCCCACUCCUUUUUUUUUUCAUCUCUGUUGUAUCAACCACAUUUUAAGGUGGCCAUUACAUCCUUAAAAGUUGUUUGAUAACGUGUCCUUUGUAUUAAGUGUCGUCAAGCUUCCAAGAGGGGCUGCUGCUUUUUCUUAGAUUGUGGAAGUUGUUGAAAUGCAAGGAUAAGACAGACCCGACAAAAACCAGCAAAGGAAAAGUCAUUUGCUCAAAUGGAUUAAAACUCCUCUUCAAUGCUGAGGUGUUGGUGACUGGAUUUCAAGCAGGUCAAGCACCAUACUGCACAAAGCCGACCGCAUCAAAAAAGGAAGAGAGAAGAAGGGUAGAAAAUUGCUCUUACUGGAAAUCAAACAGUUGGGAAAGGACAAGAUUAUGAUUUUCUAGUCCUACUACACAUAUAGAUCCAAGGUGAAUCAUAUGGAUUAUGCUAAAACAAUUAAUAUAAAUUGCUUCCCCCCCAAGAAGAAUGAAAGAAUAAACAAUAACUUGUUUCUAAAGUAAUCAACCCUCCAUUAGCAGGGAAGAUUUAUUCACUUCUGUCCUUAACAUCUCCAGCUGCCUUUCUGUUCUGUGGCUGUACAUGCCUGCAGAGUAUGCUCUGAGAGAUGCAGAAUCGGUAUAGGUUGAUCGGACUUGGAUUCUGAAAGCACACACAUUCAUGAAGGGAUAAAGGGGCUACGAAUUGGCGAGCCUUUAGCUUCUUGUUGCAUUAGUACUCACCUUUACCUCAUCAACAAGAACAAAAGCACAUUGACCCACAACGAUAAUUGAAAGAUAUAGAUAUGAUGAUAGCUUAGAUUUGAUUGCUUGAAAUCAUAACAAUAGAUGUUGUAGGUCCAGGUCCGCCCAAUUUUUAAAUUCU
This is a long non-coding RNA of Populus trichocarpa (black cottonwood), 1436 nucleotides long. RefSeq lists it as uncharacterized. The record is from RefSeq and is a predicted model, not a curated record. The transcript is spliced from 3 exons. Lineage: Eukaryota; Viridiplantae; Streptophyta; Magnoliopsida; Malpighiales; Salicaceae.